AAUUCUAAAGCUCUAAAAAAAAUCCUACUAUUUAGCAACAGUAGAAUACUCAUGAUAGUCUACAAUUAUUCAGGAAAAGGGUCACUUUCUUUUUCCCACCACAGAAGUACUUUUUUUUUCAUAUGCUGUCUCUUCAUCAUGUUAUUGUAAUUUAUUUUGGUAUACUCUGAGUUCCCAAUUAGAUCACAUCUCCUUUGUACUUUUUAAAAAUGCAUAGUAUUUGAGAUUAUUCCUGCCUGAAAAAUAUGAAUCCUUUUUCCUUUUAUUCUCACUUCUCUUGAAUUGCUGACAAAACUCUUCCCCCACUUCUUUUUAUUUGUAAGGCUCUCUGCAGCUAAUGAAGGAAGUGAAACUAGUAGAAUUAAUGCACAGCUACUGGGACUCCACCCUUUAACAGUUGAUUCAACAGGCAUUACUCAAAUGACUACAGAUUAGUAGUAACCCACACUUCUACAAAUGCUGACAGUGCACUGAAGCUUUUACUGAAAGAAACUGAUGGGAAUUAAACGGUGUUCAUCUGGAAUUGUCUCCCAGUUUUCACCUAUACAGGCAUGAUUUUCAUUUAGUACCCGUGACUUAUGUAGCAGCUCAUGUGCUCGCUUGCAUGUGCAGUAGUACUCAGCUGUUAUGUCAUUAAAUCCAGAAGACUUUAUGUUAGUGACAGUACAGUCUAUACUACUAGUCUGUGCAGUCUUUUCAACUUCAAGUCACUGAAGCUUUGAAUCUAUUGCAUUUAUUGCCCUUCAGUAGGAGCACAUUGUACUGCAAAGAAGAUGCAAAUGUUCCUGUAUAUGAUACUAUUUCCUGGAAAGGUAGGGUGUUGCAGAAAAGCAGAUAAAAGAAGUAUAGUUGUAUUGCCAUGUUGAAAAAGGUUCCAUUUUUUGAUUAAUUGUACUAUCUUUCCUGUUUUUCGUACAAAGAAUCAAAGAUUGGGUAAGGGUUUAAGGGACCAUGCAUAAGUGGGUCCAACCUCCCUGCUUGAGCAGUAAUCCUAGAGCACACUUCACAGGAUCGUGUCCCGACAAUUCUUGAGCAUCUCCUGUGAGGGAGACUUCACAACCUCUCUAGACUAUCUGUGCAGUGAAGUCAAUUGCACAGUAAAAAAGUUCUUAAGUUCUUUCCCUUUGACAUAUAGUGUCAUCCACCUAGCACAUUCCUUGCUUUCUGAAAAAGUGGGAAAAUUUACUUGAAAUGCUUCAUAGUUUUUUUUUUAAUAUUGAGAUUUUUGUAGAAACUUAUAAAUUUAUCUGCUCAGUAAUGAGUCACAGAUUAUGUUUUUCUUCUUUAUUAAAUUAUGCAGCAUGAAAUGAAAAGUUCCAUUCUAAUUCUGCCUUCCUCUGCUCUUGUGAAAUGGUGUGGUGCUAGAGAAAAUCAGUUCUUUACUACUGGAAAAUUCUUAAGUCUAUGAAAGAAUUGCACCCUUGCUUGGGGGCAGUAGGGGCUAUGAUAAAAUCUGGUCUGCUAAUUAUUUACUUCUUGUUACCACUUCUUGUGUGAUGUUUAAAGUGGUGUUUUGUUAUUUAACAUACAAAAUCACAUAUGUUGUCCAGAAGUAAGUUUGUGCAUCUGUGUCAAGUAUAGAAUGAGGCUCGGGGAAGGCAGGGAUUUUGAGGAUGUUUGCAGAAGUUGUUCUUUGAAAUGUAGUUGAAAUUUUCAGUGUUUUUGGAGAAAAUCAUUCAAAGACAAAAAGUGUAAUUUGCUGUCAGGAAUAGUUAGAGCAUCUUGGCAGUAAACAAAGAGGAGCAUUCAUUAAAGUUUUCACUAGAAUUCUAUUUCUUUAACAACACAGAAAAAUGGAUUAACAAAAUGUUUUAAUUGUCUAGUACAAUACAUGCCUGUUAUGCUUCUCUUGUCAAAUUAAAAG
Long non-coding RNA from Oenanthe melanoleuca, 1864 nucleotides. RefSeq lists it as uncharacterized. The transcript has 2 exons. Lineage: Eukaryota; Metazoa; Chordata; Aves; Passeriformes; Muscicapidae. The record is from RefSeq and is a predicted model, not a curated record.